Molecule: non-coding RNA, 29 nt
Filed under: Rattus norvegicus (Norway rat)
Lineage: Eukaryota; Metazoa; Chordata; Mammalia; Rodentia; Muridae
Source: RNAcentral
GUGAGUCUGAGGUCAGCCUGCNGUUACAG